UACGAAGGGUGCAAACGUUGCUCGGAAUCAUUGGGCGUAAAGCGCACGUAGGCGCCUUGCAAGUCGGAUGUGAAAUCCCACGGCUCAACCGUGGACGUGCAUCCGAAACUGCUCGGCUCGAGUAUGGAAGAGGGUCGCGGAAUUCCCGGUGUAGAGGUGAAAUUCGUAGAUAUCGGGAGGAACACCAGUGGCGAAGGCGGCGACCUGGGCCAAUACUGACGCUGAGGUGCGAAAGCGUGGGGAGCAAACAGGG
RNAcentral lists this ribosomal RNA (253 nucleotides) under uncultured bacterium. RNAcentral's name for it is "partial 16S ribosomal RNA". It matches the Rfam family "Bacterial small subunit ribosomal RNA", at positions 524 to 777 of the family's 1533-position model. The record is from RNAcentral.